UCGAGGGGUAACAGGAGAGCUUGCUCUUGCUGACGACCGGCGCACGGGUGCGUAACGCGUAUACAAUCUACCUAUUACUAAGGAAUAGCCCAUGGAAACGCGGAUUAAUGCCUUAUGGUAUCCUGGAGUCGCAUGACUUUCAGGAUUAAAGGUUACGGUAAUAGAUGAGUAUGCGUCCUAUUAGCUAGAUGGUAAGGUAACGGCUUACCAUGGCAACGAUAGGUAGGGGUCCUGAGAGGGAGAUCCCCCACACUGGUACUGAGACACGGACCAGACUCCUACGGGAGGCAGCAGUGAGGAAUAUUGGACAAUGGGAGGAAUCCUGAUCCAGCCAUGCCGCGUGCAGGAAGACUGCCCUAUGGGUUGUAAACUGCUUUUAUACAGGAAGAAAAAGGUGUACGUGUACACUGUUGACGGUACUGUAAGAAUAAGGAUCGGCUAACUCCGUGCCAGCAGCCGCGGUAAUACGGAGGAUCCAAGCGUUAUCCGGAAUCAUUGGGUUUAAAGGGUCCGUAGGCGGGAUGAUAAGUCAGUGGUGAAAGUCUGCAGCUUAACUGUAGAAUUGCCAUUGAUACUGUUGUUCUUGAGUGCUUGUGAAGUGGUUAGAAUGAGUAGUGUAGCGGUGAAAUGCAUAGAUAUUACUCAGAAUACCGAUUGCGAAGGCAGAUCACUAACAAUACACUGACGCUGAUGGACGAAAGCGUAGGUAGCGAACAGGAUUAGAUACCCUGGUAGUCUACGCCGUAAACGAUGGUUACUAGCUGUUCGGACUA
Molecule: ribosomal RNA, 773 nt
Filed under: Psychroflexus sp. M6M-1
Lineage: Bacteria; Pseudomonadati; Bacteroidota; Flavobacteriia; Flavobacteriales; Flavobacteriaceae
Description: bacterial SSU rRNA
Rfam family: Bacterial small subunit ribosomal RNA
Source: RNAcentral